UUUUGUAGUUGAAGCAACAAUAACUUUUCAUGUUAUAGGUUUAGGUUGGAACCCUAACAAAAAUU
This 65-nucleotide transfer RNA is filed under the name Asterias amurensis (Northern Pacific seastar). RNAcentral describes it as "tRNA-Glu". It matches the Rfam family "tRNA". Rfam says of the family: Transfer RNA (tRNA) molecules are approximately 80 nucleotides in length. Lineage: Eukaryota; Metazoa; Echinodermata; Asteroidea; Forcipulatida; Asteriidae. The record is from RNAcentral.